CAACGUAAGGGCAGCCAAGGGUAAUUACCCCGACAAAAGUAUGUUCCUGGUCCUAGCAGCAACAAAGACAACGAAGAAGCUGAUGGGUUGGCCUCAGAAGGAUCUAGAGCAUCAGGUGACGAAUCUUUGCAGGUGUUGCCUGCCCUCCUGGAGGCCGCCCUGCUGGCGCUAACUUCUGGGGACUCUUCCCACUCUCCUGGGCGUCUCUAUGCAAUGCCUUCGCACCCUGAUCUCUUUCCACAUGUUUCCAGCGUUGUUAUGAGCAGCUUAGCCAGUUACAAAGUACAUGAGGCUUCUUGUUGGAUGUUCAUGGCUGGAGGGUCCCUGGGCCAUUCAGCUUAGAGCCUCCACUUGCCUGUUGCUUGUGAAUUACGUGUCAUUAUUUGCUGUAGUGCUCAAAAUAUGUCCUGGAAUUUAAUGAACUGUUGGUUCAAAAAUGUUCUUAAAUGCUUUAGGCUUAUCUGAUGGAAAGUUGGAAGGAUUAGCCUGCAGUCACAUUUUUAAAAUUCUUUCAGCGCAGCCCAAGCAGAGGGUCCCUUCGCUCUUCAGGCCUGGAAAGUCGUCCUUCAGUCUGGACUUGAAUCUUGAUCUCGUAUUUUCUGAUGAAGGGCAGGGUUCAGUUUCUGAGCCCCACCUGAUGCUUCCUCUCCUCUCAGCUUUGGUCCUCCGGUUGGAGAGAUGGCCUCCAGCCCUUGUCCUUAAUGCAGCCUCCACUUCCUGGUGCAAAUUGUGUACCAGGCAAGCUCUUCCU
Molecule: long non-coding RNA, 751 nt
Filed under: Homo sapiens (human)
Lineage: Eukaryota; Metazoa; Chordata; Mammalia; Primates; Hominidae
Description: HSALNT0026006
Source: RNAcentral